This 911-nucleotide long non-coding RNA is filed under the name Bos taurus (domestic cattle). Its description in RNAcentral is "long non-coding RNA NONBTAT000077". The record is from RNAcentral. Lineage: Eukaryota; Metazoa; Chordata; Mammalia; Artiodactyla; Bovidae.
AGUAUGUAUACCUUCUUACCACAGUAGGGCUGUUUUUUAGGUUGGUUUGUUUUUAAUUGUCCCUAUUUGCAAGAUUAAUCCUUUAUUUAGGGGCAGAGCUAGAUCUAUUAGUUGUCAUCUAAAGAUCAGAUUGGCAGCUUGGAUUUUUUUUUUUUGUAGCUGUUUAAUCUGAUAAGGAGUCUGUUGUAGUAUUCCAUGUUUUGGAAAAUAAGAUCUGAGUAGGAAAAUAAGCUAUGACCAUCUCUUGUGAAGUAGAUACCCAUCUGUAUAAAUUUAGAAAUGAUAAACUUUAUGGUUUAUCAUUCUGAAGGUUUGAGAUUCCAGACUUUCAACCAUAUUGUGUUAUAUAUAACAUUUAUAUUAUACAGUUAUCACUUAUGAGAACAAUUAGUUGAAUUUCUGAGGUGAAUUAGGUAUUAUUUCAAGUCAGUUGUCAAUAAACUAAGAUCUAUAAUCAGAGGAGUUUGUUAUGACUGGGUGUUUUACUGAGUAGCUCAUUUUGGCUCUCAAAUGUUGUCCAUCAAUGCUGAAAUUUUGCGUUAUACAUUAGACAUUUUCUUACUAUUUAGACAUGUCUCCAUUACAGUUGAUGCUUCUGCAAGAGUUUAAUAAUCUUUGUUUUGACUUAGGGAAAGGAGCCAACAAAUAUUUUGAUUAACUGGCUAAAUAUGUUGUUCUAGACUCAGUUGUUUUUAAAGAAAAAAAAAGUUCAUGGAACCACUGUAAACUGUAGAAUUUAGGUUACAUUUUGCUAGACAGCCAUGAGCAUUUUAUUUUAUGGGCCUUUUCACUACUUUAUUGAUAACAUAAAUUUAUAUUGCUGAAGAAUGGGUACACUCAAAGGAAAAUAACAAAAUUUAUUCUUAGUAGUGAACUUCCGUCAAAAGUUAGUGUUGACUGUUAAGGUAAAA